Manis pentadactyla (Chinese pangolin) is the source of this 595-nucleotide long non-coding RNA. RefSeq lists it as uncharacterized. NCBI's taxonomy places the organism in Eukaryota, Metazoa, Chordata, Mammalia, Pholidota, Manidae. The record is from RefSeq and is a predicted model, not a curated record. The transcript is spliced from 4 exons.
CUUACAUAAGAAGACACAAGAGUCUCACCAUUUCUUGCAUUUGUUUCCAGCAGGGUCUACAGUAGGCAGAAUAAUGUCCCCUUAAAGAAGGCUGCAUCCUAAAUCCCUGAAACCUGUGGAUAUAUUAUGUUACAAGGUAAAAGAUGUUGAGGAAAAUCCAUCUUUCCUGUGAAGAACCAUUCUUAAGUCAUCCCAGACUCUUGGUAGAAGAUUGCCUGGACUCUCUGACAGUACAUGUUGCGGAUUUCUCCUGAUGUGUGAAAAUUUUCACAGCUGUAUGCAAGACACAUUCAUCUAACUAAAGAGGUUUAUUUAAUCCCUAUUGGACUAAAGUGAGGAGAAAGGAAAAUAGAAACUCGAUUUUCCCUGCUCUGUGAGAACAAGACUGAGAAUUCUAUAGUAUCACUUGCUCUAGAGAGAAAGACCAGGUAAUUCAUAUAUCCAUGAGAGUUCCUGCUAAAGCUGAUAUUUAAAGAUGGAAAAAAAAUAAUUGUAGUGGUACACUUAAAACAACUUAUAACUUUAAUUUUUAGAUGUACUAACCGAUAAGUAGUAUGUUGAAUAAAUAUGAUGCUAAGCUGAUUACUCUAUUAGA